GAUGAAGAACGUAGCGAAAUGCGAUAAGUAGUGUGAAUUGCAGAAUUCAGUGAAUCAUCGAAUCUUUGAACGCACAUUGCGCCCCUUGGUAUUCCAUGGGGCAUGCCUGUUCGAGCGUCAUUUGUACCUUCAAGCUCUGCUUGGUGUUGGGUGUUUGUCUCGCCUCUGCGCGUAGACUCGCCUCAAAACAAUUGGCAGCCGGCGUAUUGAUUUCGGAGCACAGUACAUCUCGCGCUUUGCACUCAUAACGACGACGUCCAAAAGUACAUUUUUACACUCUUGACCUCGGAUCAGGUAGGGAUACCCGCUGAACUUAAGCAUAUCAAUAACGGAGGA
RNAcentral lists this unclassified non-coding RNA (336 nucleotides) under soil metagenome. Its description in RNAcentral is "partial contains 5.8S ribosomal RNA, internal transcribed spacer 2, and large subunit ribosomal RNA". The stretch from base 1 to 120 matches the Rfam family "5.8S ribosomal RNA", at positions 35 to 154 of the family's 154-position model. The record is from RNAcentral.